AGAAGCUUGCUUCUUUGCUGACGAGUGGCGGACGGGUGAGUAAUGUCUGGGAAACUGCCUGAUGGAGGGGGAUAACUACUGGAAACGGUAGCUAAUACCGCAUAACGUCGCAAGACCAAAGAGGGGGACCUUCGGGCCUCUUGCCAUCGGAUGUGCCCAGAUGGGAUUAGCUAGUAGGUGGGGUAACGGCUCACCUAGGCGACGAUCCCUAGCUGGUCUGAGAGGAUGACCAGCCACACUGGAACUGAGACACGGUCCAGACUCCUACGGGAGGCAGCAGUGGGGAAUAUUGCACAAUGGGCGCAAGCCUGAUGCAGCCAUGCCGCGUGUAUGAAGAAGGCCUUCGGGUUGUAAAGUACUUUCAGCGGGGAGGAAGGGAGUAAAGUUAAUACCUUUACUCAUUGACGUUACCCGCAGAAGAAGCACCGGCUAACUCCGUGCCAGCAGCCGCGGUAAUACGGAGGGUGCAAGCGCUAAUCGGAAUUACUGGGCGUAAAGCGCACGCAGGCGGUUUGUUAAGUCAGAUGUGAAAUCCCCGGGCUCAACCUGGGAACUGCAUCUGAUACUGGCAAGCUUGAGUCUCGUAGAGGGGGGUAGAAUUCCAGGUGUAGCGGUGAAAUGCGUAGAGAUCUGGAGGAAUACCGGUGGCGAAGGCGGCCCCCUGGACGAAGACUGA
RNAcentral lists this ribosomal RNA (676 nucleotides) under uncultured bacterium. RNAcentral's name for it is "bacterial SSU rRNA". It matches the Rfam family "Bacterial small subunit ribosomal RNA", at positions 74 to 743 of the family's 1533-position model. The record is from RNAcentral.